AGAGGGAGGGUGGAGUUAGUCAUGACAGCCACACAGAACAUGGUUGCAUAAGAGGGGGAAAGUGAAGGUGUUCGUACCAAGCACAGAACUAACUGUCAAGUUACCCACAGUCCACAGAUUACAGCCCGAUCCGGGGCGUGUCAUUUCCACAGGGGGCUUUAGGGGAAAAGAAAGAAAGAAAGACUAUUCCACGAGCAUCAAGCAAACCAGGUGAUUCCGCAGUUUUACUGAGAUAUAAUUGACAUACAGCACUGUAUAAGUUUAAGGUGUGCGGCAUGAUGAUCUGACUUACAUACAUCAUGAGAUGAUGACCACGCUCCCCUCGUGGCUCACUCCCACAGCCGACGUGAGGCCCCGGGAGCGCCGCGGACCGUCCUGGAGAGCGCGGGUCUGCGGGGCAGAGAGGACGCCCCACGCAGCGGUCACCGGGAGCCACAGCUACCGAACGCAG
Long non-coding RNA from Orcinus orca (killer whale), 451 nucleotides. RefSeq lists it as uncharacterized. NCBI's taxonomy places the organism in Eukaryota, Metazoa, Chordata, Mammalia, Artiodactyla, Delphinidae. The transcript is spliced from 3 exons. The record is from RefSeq and is a predicted model, not a curated record.